Molecule: long non-coding RNA, 487 nt
Organism: Tripterygium wilfordii
Lineage: Eukaryota; Viridiplantae; Streptophyta; Magnoliopsida; Celastrales; Celastraceae
Exons: 3
Source: RefSeq, a predicted model, not a curated record
UGUGUGUUACUGGCCUCGGUUAUAUUCAGAGAAAUAACUUCCACUGCCAAGAAAGUCAAUGGCAGAUUAGCUUUGCAGUAUUAUUAUCACUAGUCGGGAUCCCACGCAUCGCGCGGGUUAGUUUCAUGGCUUGGGUGCUUGCAAUGAUUAGCAGGGGACUACAUGAUGCUGUUUAUGAUGUAGGAACCAAACAGGAAGUGAAAUUUUUUUAGAUGAUUUUGGAUUUCACGACAUGGUAAUUGAUGUUCUGGUGCAUUCGGUACAACUAUGCGAUUUGGACCCAAGAGUGAUAUGAUUUAGAUGACUUCAGUUUCUACUACAUAUUCGAGGUAGGUCAAUGAAUGAUAUAUGAGUUCCAAUAGACACCUAUUUAAAUGCCAUUGAAUAACAACACUUUUAGUAGAGUCAUUACAUGUCAUUACACUUUAAAGUUUCAUUGAUAGAAUAUUUUAAAGGAAUGUUUAAUGGAUUCUGCAUAGGAACCUAU